GUAGGUGGCAAGCGUUGUCCGGGAAUUAUUGGGCGUAAAGCGCGCGCAGGCGGUUCUUUAAGUCUGAUGUGAAAGCCCACGGGCUCAACCGUGGAGGGUCAUUGGAAACUGGAGAACUUGAGUACAGAAGAGGAAAGCGGAAUUCCACGUGUAGCGGUGAAAUGCGUAGAGAUGUGGAGGAACACCAGUGGCGAAGGCGGCUUUCUGGUCUGUAACUGACGCUGAGGCGCGAAAGCGUGGGGAGCAAACAGGAUUAGAUACCCUGGUAGUCCACGCCGUAAACGAUGAGUGCUAAGUGUUAGGGGGGUUUCCGCCCCUUAGUGCUGCAGCUAACGCAUUAAGCACUCCGCCUGGGGAGUACGGCCGCAAGGCUG
RNAcentral lists this ribosomal RNA (374 nucleotides) under uncultured organism. RNAcentral describes it as "partial 16S ribosomal RNA". It matches the Rfam family "Bacterial small subunit ribosomal RNA", at positions 527 to 896 of the family's 1533-position model. The record is from RNAcentral.